CUAUGCUACGGAUUCUUACAGGCCGAUAUUAGGUUACGCCACUGGCAUAUUGCAAAUUGGGAAUAUUUUCUAUGUUUUUGCGCAUGUGCGUUACUCCACCGACACGUAUUAAGCGGUGAAUAUUUCAUUCAUUGGUGCUUGCUUUAAAAACGAACAGGUGUGAUGGCGUCUUGGAAAAUUUUCAUGGGCAUAAUAUAGUUACAUAUCGCCGAAUUGCGGAUUUUCGAGUCCAUGAAUAAUCGAUGUUUUGGAGAUUGGUUUGUUAGACCAUUUUAUCCAUUUACCGUUACGGGAUCUGAAUACAUUUGCUUGACAUAACGCACCUGUUCUUCGCAUCACCUAAGCCAGAGCUUUGAUUGCCGAUAACCUCGAGGCAUCUCGUUAAUUAACGAGUUUUAAAAAGCCCUCUUUUUAAUUAAGAGGGUUUUACUUUUCCUGUUUUUUUUGUAUCGCACGUAAUUAUCUCAUGUCAAACUUGUGGUCACGCAUGGUUGGUUUCCCACUGCUGGACCUUAUUGUCAUCCGAUUGUCCACCUAGAGGCCGAUUGUAGCGGUUAUUACCCGAGCUGAGGGCUCCCGGAUAUCCUGAGAUUUGUAACCACGGGGGUGGACAACCGACACGAAGAAUCUUAAGGGGAGCAGGAACACCACGUAGCCGCCACGUUUCCGGAGAACGGUGAAAUAAACUUUGCCUUUCGAUAUUAGUACUAUUUGCCAUUGCAUAGGCACUCCUAAUGUUAAUCUUAAGCGAAGGGUUACGCUCGCAUCUGGGGCACUUUACCGAUCGGAGGUACAAAGUAAGGGGAUAGGAAUAAUUGGUACAUUUACGGGUCAUACUGCUGUGGAUCCCGUUGAAUUUGUAAGCGCAUGAGUACUCAUACCGCCUUGUUAACUAAGCAACCCCGUACCACGUCAUUAAAGUGUUUAGCUUAUAAUUAAUGCCUAGAACUAUCAAUUUAUGCAACACCGUUUAAUCCAGGCUGCUUGGCCACUGCCGACCUAACUAUAAAAAGGGAAAAGCAAGGGUGGGAAGACCAUUUUGUUUGCGGAUAGACUACUAUUUGGGAAGCGUGGGUUAAUUUAACCCACGGGCUUCGCAUCGGUUGCCGCUCACUAAUUUUUGCAUGUGAUAUUACCUGUGGGUUAGUCAUUAGUUGUUAUAUAUAUAUCUACUUUAGUAGUCGAUUUUAUACAUAUUUAUUGUUACUUGUUAUACUGUGUGUUUUGGGGUACCUUAAAUUGAUUCUGUGAUUAUUUGCAUGUGUAAUUGCUAUACUGUUGGUUACAAAUUAUACUAUCACCGUUGAAGUUACCUCCAGUGUUUUGGAUUAUUGCUCGUUCCUACAGGGUAUUUAUUGCCCUGCAGUGGUAUCAACCUUCCUUGUUCAGGUUGAACCGAAGACCUUCUCUAGUAGUGAACAAGGUGGCGCCCAUUUAUUGUUUGAGGUGGUAAGUCAAAUCGUUAGUCCCACGCCCU
Photinus pyralis (common eastern firefly) is the source of this 1477-nucleotide long non-coding RNA. RefSeq lists it as uncharacterized. The record is from RefSeq and is a predicted model, not a curated record. NCBI's taxonomy places the organism in Eukaryota, Metazoa, Arthropoda, Insecta, Coleoptera, Lampyridae. The transcript is spliced from 3 exons.